CUGGCUAUUUCAGAGAAGAAAAUUACUCUUUACAUUAGCAAGAGUGAAACUUUUUUUUUUUUUUUGUCAGAUAAUCUGAAUGCUCUGACAACAAAUCUUCCUCCAAAUUGGAUGCAUGACCUACGAAAACUUGCAUUCAAUUCAUGGGUGGUACAUGGAACUUCUAGCUCCCGUUGACUCCAGUAAAGUCUUAGAAAGGUCAAGAAGGCCUGAGCCUUGCAGAGAAAUCUAACCAUGCCCAGAAUAAUAUUACUGGAUGAUGUGUGGGCAUUUAAUCAGACCCACAUGUAUGCAAAAUCAAACACACAUAUAUGCAGAGCGACUAAAGAACAGAGACUUAUCUGUCCGGAUUCUGGAGCAACAUGAAAAAAAAAGAUAGAUUUUUUUCUUCAAACCCAAAUCUGUUCCCUUAUACACUGUAGAUGUAUUACAAAUUACUUUUUUUUUUUUUUUCAAAGAAAGAGAUUAAAAAUG
RNAcentral lists this long non-coding RNA (474 nucleotides) under Anser brachyrhynchus (Pink-footed goose). RNAcentral describes it as "lncRNA (ENSABRG00000000754.1)". The record is from RNAcentral. Lineage: Eukaryota; Metazoa; Chordata; Aves; Anseriformes; Anatidae.